CUCUCUCAUCUUUCGUUCUGCUCUCAUCUCUCCUUCCUCUUUCAUUCCCAUCUCGUUCUGCUCUCAUCUCUCGUGUGAGGUCUUCGAUUUUCGUUCGAAUCUUGUUCGAGUUAAAGCAAGUGGUGAACGGUUAGAGAGACAGUUAGACCGGCGGCACCGUCACCUGCAACGCUUCCGACUAAGACACCGUCACCUUUAACGGCCUCCGGUACCGGCGCUUCAAAGGUUUUUUUUUUUUUUUUUCCUGUUAAAGCUUACAAAACCCUAAUAUAAAUCUCUCUUUCGCUCAAUUUUUUCCCCAAUUACAAGUAAGUUUCUUCUCUUUUUCGCUUAAUUCAUCUUUAUAUUCUUUUAUGCUGUAUUUUUUGUUGAUUUUGUUAUAGAUUUAGUUGAAAUUUGUGGUAUUACGUUGUAUUUUUGAUUUAUUUUUUUUAAUCUUCGUUUUUUUGCUCAAUUUUUUCCCCAAUUUCAAGUAAUGUUUUUGCUAACCUUGGCUGUGUAGAAUCUGUAGAUUGUGUAUUGUGCGUUCUUUGAUUUUGGAACUUGACUCGUUAUUUUGGGUUCACUGUUUCUUUUUUUCUUUUUCUUUUUUUAUUCAAUAACUUUGCUAUGAAUCUGAGUUUGUUUUGAUAAAUAAUUAGUUUAAUUCAUUAUAAUUGGCCUAUGAACAAGUUGAGUUUCACUAUAUUCAUACUGAUUAAAAUUUGUAUGCAUUAGGCAAUUUUUUCAAGCAUUGGAUCUGAGUGUCAAUUUUUGUUUGCUUCAAUGUGUUUAUGAUGGAUAUUUUGUAGGGCUUCAAUUUGAGAACAAUUGUGAAGUGGGUGUAAUCUCUAAGUUGACUAAUGCAUAUUGUUUGGUCGCAAUUGGCAGGUCUGAGAACUUUUACAGUAUAUUUGAAUCCGAGUUGGCGGAUUAUAUUCCCGUUGUAAAGACCUCAUGGCAGGAAACAAAAACGGGCUUCUUGUGCCUCACUCGACUACUGACCAGGGCAGGUUAUGCCAUUGUAAGGAUAGGAGCACCAUGGAUAAUUCGUGGAAGAGGGAUCAUUGCAAAUGGUUGUAUCAGCUGAAGAUCAAUGCUCCUGUGUAGUUGUUUCUGUUUUGUUGAUGUUAUCUGUGAGGCUGUGUCUGCUCAGCUGGUUGUCCUGUUCAGCUAUUAGAUGCUAGUUCUUUUAUCUUGAUUACUGCAGGGUUGGUUUUCCUGUCUGUGUUGCUGUGAGCUGCUGUUUCUGCUACAGUGUUGUGUCUGCUGUGUUGUGAUGUCGAGUUUUCCUAUGUUGAUGUGAUGCGCUGCUGUGUUGGUGUUGCUGUGUUGCUGUCUGCUUUCUUUUGCAGUGCUGUGUUGCUGGUUUCUAGGGUGCUGUGAUGCUGAGUUGAUGUGCUUGCUCUGCUGCUUUGGUGUUGCGCUGUGUUUUGUUAUUUUUGUAGCCUGUUGAGCUGCUUAGUUUGGGCUGCUUAGUUCGAUGUUUGCUGUUUAUAUGCUUCAUUAGAACAGGUUUUUGGAGUAUUAAAAGUAAAUUUCUGUAACUUUAUAUAUAUGUUAGUGUUUAUAUA
Molecule: long non-coding RNA, 1553 nt
Organism: Chenopodium quinoa (quinoa)
Lineage: Eukaryota; Viridiplantae; Streptophyta; Magnoliopsida; Caryophyllales; Amaranthaceae
Exons: 3
Source: RefSeq, a predicted model, not a curated record